AGUGAUGAUUUUAAACAUUCUUCACUUUGACCUGAUUUACAGUGAUGAUAAACUUCAGCCUGAGC
RNAcentral lists this small nucleolar RNA (65 nucleotides) under Kryptolebias marmoratus (mangrove rivulus). RNAcentral describes it as "Small nucleolar RNA SNORD37 (ENSKMAG00000003686.1)". It matches the Rfam family "Small nucleolar RNA SNORD37". From Rfam's summary of the family: U37 is a member of the C/D class of snoRNA which contain the C (UGAUGA) and D (CUGA) box motifs. Most of the members of the box C/D family function in directing site-specific 2'-O-methylation of substrate RNAs. The record is from RNAcentral. Lineage: Eukaryota; Metazoa; Chordata; Actinopteri; Cyprinodontiformes; Rivulidae.